AGCAUUGGAACUUGUGCUCUAUUGUCAAAUACAUAUGAUAAUUAUGAUAUAUGAGAUUAUGCUAAAAAGGUUCAAGCUAAAGUGAGACGGAUGAGAUUGAAGAAACUGCCUGGAUGUAGUCGAAUAGAGGUUGAUUAGGGAUGGCAACGGGCCGGUUCGGGAUCAGGUAUGGCAAUACCAUCCUUGUCUAGCUCCCCAUCCCCACCUUCGUCCCCUCCCCUAUCUCGAUAAGAAUUUGAGGGGAAUCCCCAUCCCCUUCGGGGUGGCU
RNAcentral lists this long non-coding RNA (268 nucleotides) under Prunus persica (peach). RNAcentral describes it as "long non-coding RNA (PPER_LNC005993)". The record is from RNAcentral. Lineage: Eukaryota; Viridiplantae; Streptophyta; Magnoliopsida; Rosales; Rosaceae.